RNAcentral lists this ribosomal RNA (418 nucleotides) under uncultured bacterium. Its description in RNAcentral is "bacterial SSU rRNA". It matches the Rfam family "Bacterial small subunit ribosomal RNA", at positions 355 to 786 of the family's 1533-position model. The record is from RNAcentral.
UGGGGAAUAUUGGGCAAUGGGCGAAAGCCUUACCCAGCAACGCCGCGUGAGGGAAGAAGGUUUUCGGAUUGUAAACCUCUGUCCUGGGGGACGAAGGAAGUGACGGUACCCCGGGAGGAAGCCCCGGCUAACUACGUGCCAGCAGCCGCGGUAAUACGUAGGGGGCGAGCGUUGUCCGGAAUUAUUGGGCGUAAAGGGCGCGUAGACGGCCGAGUAAGUUAUAGGUGAAAGCCCAUCUUUCAAGGAUGGAAUUGCCUGUAAUACUGCCUGGCUUGAGUGCAGGAGAGGGAAGCGGAAUUCCUAGUGUAGCGGUGAAAUGCGUAGAUAUUAGGAGGGACACCAGUGGCGAAGGCGGCUUUCUGGACUGCAACUGACGUUGAGGCGCGAAAGCGUGGGGGAGCAAACAGGAUUAGAUACC